This 492-nucleotide ribosomal RNA is filed under the name Diaporthe sp. Lak016. RNAcentral describes it as "eukaryotic LSU rRNA". The stretch from base 178 to 331 matches the Rfam family "5.8S ribosomal RNA". Lineage: Eukaryota; Fungi; Ascomycota; Sordariomycetes; Diaporthales; Diaporthaceae. The record is from RNAcentral.
CUGGAACGCGCCCCAGGCGCACCCAGAAACCCUUUGUGAACUUAUACCUUACUGUUGCCUCGGCGCUAGCUGGUCCUCCGGGGCCCCUCACCCCCGGGUGUUGAGACAGCCCGCCGGCGGCCAACCUAACUCUUGUUUUUACACUGAAACUCUGAGAAUAAAACAUAAAUGAAUCAAAACUUUCAACAACGGAUCUCUUGGUUCUGGCAUCGAUGAAGAACGCAGCGAAAUGCGAUAAGUAAUGUGAAUUGCAGAAUUCAGUGAAUCAUCGAAUCUUUGAACGCACAUUGCGCCCUCUGGUAUUCCGGAGGGCAUGCCUGUUCGAGCGUCAUUUCAACCCUCAAGCCUGGCUUGGUGAUGGGGCACUGCCUGUAAAAGGGCAGGCCCUGAAAUUCAGUGGCGAGCUCGCCAGGACCCCGAGCGCAGUAGUUAAACCCUCGCUCUGGAAGGCCCUGGCGGUGCCCUGCCGUUAAACCCCCAACUUCUGAAAAU